CACCAGCACCUCGAGUGGUCCGGAGGUUUAUUGGGCCUAAAGCAUCCGUAGCCGGUUGCAUAAGUUUUCGGUUAAAUCUAUGCGCUCAACGUAUAGGCCGCCGAAAAUACUGUGCAGCUAGGGAGUGGGAGAGGUACACGGUACUCGAUAGGAAGGGGUAAAAUCCUUUGAUCUAUUGAUGACCACCUGUGGCGAAGGCGGUGUACCAGAACACGUUCGACGGUGAGGGAUGAAAGCUGGGGGAGCAAACCGG
This 253-nucleotide ribosomal RNA is filed under the name uncultured archaeon. RNAcentral's name for it is "partial 16S ribosomal RNA". It matches the Rfam family "Archaeal small subunit ribosomal RNA", at positions 474 to 727 of the family's 1478-position model. The record is from RNAcentral.